AUUGAACGCUGGCGGCAGGCCUAACACAUGCAAGUCGAACGAGUGGCGGACGGGUGAGUAAUGUCUGGGAAACUGCCUGAUGGAGGGGGAUAACUAUUGGAAACGGUAGCUAAUACCGCAUACCAUCAGCUCUGCCCAGGUGGGAUUAGCUGGUUGGUGGGGUAACGGCUCACCAAGGCGACGAUCCCCAGCUGGUCUGAGAGGGUGAACGGCCACACUGGAACUGAGACACGGUCCAGACUCCUACGGGAGGCAGCAGUGGGGAAUAUUGGACAAUGGGCGCAAGCCUGAUGGAGCCAUGCCGCGUGAGUGAAGAAGGUCUUCGGAUUGUAAAAUACUGUCGGCGGGGAAGCGUUACCCACACAGGAAGCAACGGCUAACUCCGUGCCAGCAGCCGCGGUAAUAC
RNAcentral lists this ribosomal RNA (406 nucleotides) under uncultured bacterium. RNAcentral's name for it is "partial 16S ribosomal RNA". It matches the Rfam family "Bacterial small subunit ribosomal RNA", at positions 30 to 526 of the family's 1533-position model. The record is from RNAcentral.